This 1342-nucleotide ribosomal RNA is filed under the name Bacillus sp. SGE154(2010). RNAcentral describes it as "bacterial SSU rRNA". It matches the Rfam family "Bacterial small subunit ribosomal RNA", at positions 37 to 1360 of the family's 1533-position model. The record is from RNAcentral. Lineage: Bacteria; Bacillati; Bacillota; Bacilli; Caryophanales; Bacillaceae.
UCAUGCCGCGUGCUAAUACAUGCAGUCGAGCGAAUCGAUGGGAGCUUGCUCCCUGAGAUUAGCGGCGGACGGGUGAGUAACACGUGGGCAACCUGCCUAUAAGACUGGGAUAACUUCGGGAAACCGGAGCUAAUACCGGAUACGUUCUUUUCUCGCAUGAGAGAAGAUGGAAAGACGGUUUACGCUGUCACUUAUAGAUGGGCCCGCGGCGCAUUAGCUAGUUGGUGAGGUAAUGGCUCACCAAGGCGACGAUGCGUAGCCGACCUGAGAGGGUGAUCGGCCACACUGGGACUGAGACACGGCCCAGACUCCUACGGGAGGCAGCAGUAGGGAAUCUUCCGCAAUGGACGAAAGUCUGACGGAGCAACGCCGCGUGAACGAAGAAGGCCUUCGGGUCGUAGAGUUCUGUUGUUAGGGAAGAACAAGUACCAGAGUAACUGCUGGUACCUUGACGGUACCUAACCAGAAAGCCACGGCUAACUACGUGCCAGCAGCCGCGGUAAUACGUAGGUGGCAAGCGUUGUCCGGAAUUAUUGGGGCGUAAAGCGCGCGCAGGUGGUUCCUUAAGUCUGAUGUGAAAGCCCACGGCUCAACCGUGGAGGGUCAUUGGAAACUGGGGAACUUGAGUGCAGAAGAGGAAAGUGGAAUUCCAAGUGUAGCGGUGAAAUGCGUAGAGAUUUGGAGGAACACCAGUGGCGAAGGCGACUUUCUGGUCUGUAACUGACACUGAGGCGCGAAAGCGUGGGGAGCAAACAGGAUUAGAUACCCUGGUAGUCAACGCCGAAGACGAUGAGUGCUAAGUGUUAGAAGGUUUCCGCCCUUUACUGCUGCAACUAAGGCAUUAGGCACUCUCCCUGGGGAGUACGGCCGCGAGGCUGAAACUCAAAGGAAUUGACGGGGGCCCGCACAAGCGGUGGAGCAUGUGGUUUAAUUCGAAGCAACGCGAAGAACCUUACCAGUGUCUUGACAUCCUCUGACAACCCUAGUAGAUAGGGCUUUCCCCUUCGGGGGACAGAGUGACAGGUGGUGCAUGGUUGUCGUCAGCUCGUGUCGUGAGAUGUUGGGUUAAGUCCCGCAACGAGCGCAACCCUUGAUCUUAGUUGCCAGCAUUCAGUUGGGCACUCUAAGGUGACUGCCGGUGACAAACCGGAGGAAGGUGGGGAUGACGUCAAAUCAUCAUGCCCCUUAUGACCUGGGCUACACACGUGCUACAAUGGAUGGUACAAAGGGCUGCAAACCUGCGAAGGUAAGCGAAUCCCAUAAAGCCAUUCUCAGUUCGGAUGCAGGCUGCAACUCGCCUGCAUGAAGCCGGAAUCGCUAGUAAUCGCGGAUCAGCAUGCGC